RNAcentral lists this microRNA precursor (144 nucleotides) under Paramuricea clavata. The record is from RNAcentral. Lineage: Eukaryota; Metazoa; Cnidaria; Anthozoa; Malacalcyonacea; Plexauridae.
UAACUUCGAGGAGUUCCUCUGAACAAUUCCUCAAGUUCCUUAAAAAGUUCCUAACUUCCUGUUUCAUUGACCAAUCAAAUUUUGUAUUUUAUUUUUGAGCAAUCUGAUUGUUGAGGAAUUGUUCAGAGGAACUCCUCGAAGUUU